GGAUGUGAGGGGAUCUGACUGGGACAUCUGUCACCCCAUUGAUCCCAAGUGUUGAUUUGGCUGAUCUGGCCAGCUAGGCGGAGGUCCCAUUUCUCCCUCAGUGCUCCAUGUACGUCCCUCCCGAGGCUACGCGCUUAGUCCAAGAGGACGACCACCCGUGACAGAGGAGGAAUCUUCCUCAGUGAAGGGUACAGGCUGCUCUCCCCUGCUGCAACCUCCAGACAAGCUCUCAAGGAGAGCUUCUUCAAAAAAAAAUUCCACGUCUGUUGAAGAAUCACCAGUUGUGCUAAUGUAAAAAACUUACUCUCACAAACACUAGCUAAUAUAGAUUUUU
RNAcentral lists this small nuclear RNA (334 nucleotides) under Chinchilla lanigera (long-tailed chinchilla). RNAcentral's name for it is "7SK RNA (ENSCLAG00000021728.1)". It matches the Rfam family "7SK RNA". Rfam says of the family: 7SK was discovered as an abundant small nuclear RNA in the mid-70s but a possible function has only recently been suggested. Lineage: Eukaryota; Metazoa; Chordata; Mammalia; Rodentia; Chinchillidae. The record is from Rfam by way of RNAcentral.